GUCAAAGGAAUCCUAGUGGACAUGGCAUCUGCCAGGUAAGCGGAACACUGUGGGUUCGAUUCCCAUUCCUGGACA
Molecule: transfer RNA, 75 nt
Filed under: Cordylochernes scorpioides
Lineage: Eukaryota; Metazoa; Arthropoda; Arachnida; Pseudoscorpiones; Chernetidae
Description: tRNA-Thr
Source: RNAcentral